GGAGAGGUGCUCGAGUGGUUGAAGAGGCACGCCUGGAAAGCGUGUAUACCCCAAAAGGGUAUCCGGGGUUCGAAUCCCUGUCUCUCCG
Molecule: transfer RNA, 88 nt
Filed under: Bacteroides uniformis
Lineage: Bacteria; Pseudomonadati; Bacteroidota; Bacteroidia; Bacteroidales; Bacteroidaceae
Also listed under: 7 other names
Description: tRNA-Ser
Rfam family: tRNA
About the family: Transfer RNA (tRNA) molecules are approximately 80 nucleotides in length. Their secondary structure includes four short double-helical elements and three loops (D, anti-codon, and T loops).
Source: RNAcentral